RNAcentral lists this ribosomal RNA (252 nucleotides) under uncultured bacterium. RNAcentral describes it as "partial 16S ribosomal RNA". It matches the Rfam family "Bacterial small subunit ribosomal RNA", at positions 525 to 776 of the family's 1533-position model. The record is from RNAcentral.
ACGGAGGGUCCAAGCGUUGUCCGGAUUUAUUGGGUUUAAAGGGUACGUAGGCGGGAUUUUAAGUCAGUGGUGAAAGCCUCCAGCUCAACUGGAGAACUGCCAUUGAAACUGAAAUUCUUGAAUAUGGAUGAGGUGGUUGGAAUAUAACAUGUAGCGGUGAAAUGCUUAGAUAUGUUAUAGAACACCAAUUGCGAAGGCAGAUCACUAAACCAUUAUUGACGCUGAGGUACGAAAGCGUGGGGAGCGAACAGG